CUACGUGCCAGCAGCCGCGGUAAUACGUAGGUCCCGAGCGUUGUCCGGAUUUAUUGGGCGUAAAGCGAGCGCAGGCGGUUAGAUAAGUCUGAAGUUAAAGGCUGUGGCUUAACCAUAGUACGCUUUGGAAACUGUUUAACUUGAGUGCAGUAGGGGAGACUGGAACUCCUGGUGUAGCGGUGGAAUGCGCAGAUAUCAGGAAGAACACCGAUGGCGAAGGCAGGUCUCUGGGCUGUAACUGACGCUGAGAAGCGAAAGCAUGGGGAGCGAACAGGAUUAGAUACCCUGGUAGUCCGCACAGUAAACGAUGGAUGCCCGCUGUUGGUACCUAGUAUCAGCGGCUAAGCGAAAGCAUUAAGCAUCCCACCUGGGGAGUACGCCGGCAACGGUGAAACUCAAAGGAAUUGACGGGGGCCCGCACAAGCGGUGGAGCAUGUGGUUUAAUUCGAAGCAACGCGAAGAACCUUACCAGGUCUUGACAUCCCUCUGACCGCUCUAGAGAUAGAGUUUUC
RNAcentral lists this ribosomal RNA (512 nucleotides) under uncultured bacterium. Its description in RNAcentral is "bacterial SSU rRNA". It matches the Rfam family "Bacterial small subunit ribosomal RNA", at positions 501 to 1016 of the family's 1533-position model. The record is from RNAcentral.